UCCGAAGGGGGCUAUCGUUGCUCGGAAUGACUGGGCGUAAAGGGCGCGUAGGCGGACUGCACAGUCAGGCGUGAAAUUCCUGGGCUUAACCUGGGGACUGCGUCUGAGACGUGUGAUCUAGAGUGAGGAAGAGGGUCGUGGAAUUUCCAGUGUAGAGGUGAAAUUCGUAGAUAUUGGAAAGAACACCGGUGGCGAAGGCGGCGACCUGGUCCUUGACUGACGCUGAGGCGCGAAAGCGUGGGUAGAAAACAGG
This 253-nucleotide ribosomal RNA is filed under the name uncultured bacterium. RNAcentral describes it as "partial 16S ribosomal RNA". It matches the Rfam family "Bacterial small subunit ribosomal RNA", at positions 524 to 776 of the family's 1533-position model. The record is from RNAcentral.